This 442-nucleotide ribosomal RNA is filed under the name uncultured bacterium. RNAcentral describes it as "partial 16S ribosomal RNA". It matches the Rfam family "Bacterial small subunit ribosomal RNA", at positions 338 to 795 of the family's 1533-position model. The record is from RNAcentral.
CCUACGGGAGGCAGCAGUGGGGAAUAUUGGGCAAUGGAGGAAACCCUGACCCAGCAAUGCCGCGUGAAUGAAGAAGGUCUUCGGAUUGUAAAGUUCUUUAGUCAGGGAAGAAUAAAAUGACGGUACCUGAAGAAUAAGCUCCGGCUAACUCCGUGCCAGCAGCCGCGGUAAUACGGAGGAUGCGCGCGUUAUCCGGAUUUAUUGGGUGUAAAGGGGGCGCAGGCGGAGGUGCAAGUCAGCGGUCAAUUUGCGGGGCUCAACCCCGUACUGCCGUUGAAACUGCAUCCCUUGAGUGCGCGAGAAGUAUGCGGAAUGCGUGGUGUAGCGGUGAAAUGCAUAGAUAUCACGCAGAACUCCGAUUGCGAAGGCAGCAUACCGGCGCGCAACUGACGCUCAUGCACGAAAGCGUGGGUAUCGAACAGGAUUAGAUACCCUUGUAGUC